CGUAGGGUGCAAGCGUUAAUCGGAAUUACUGGGCGUAAAGCGUGCGCAGGCGGUUAUGCAAGACAGAUGUGAAAUCCCCCGGGCUCAACCUGGGAACUGCAUUUGUGACUGCAUAGCUAGAGUACGGUAGAGGGGGAUGGAAUUCCGCGUGUAGCAGUGAAAUGCGUAGAUAUGCGGAGGAACACCGAUGGCGAAGGCAAUCCCCUGGACCUGUACUGACGCUCAUGCACGAAAGCGUGGGGAGCAAACAGGAUUAGAUACCCUGGUAGUCCACGCCCUAAACGAUGUCAACUGGUUGUUGGGAGGGUUUCUUCUCAGUAACGUAGCUAACGCGUGAAGUUGACCGCCUGGGGAGUACGGCCGCAAGGUUG
This 371-nucleotide ribosomal RNA is filed under the name uncultured organism. RNAcentral's name for it is "bacterial SSU rRNA". It matches the Rfam family "Bacterial small subunit ribosomal RNA", at positions 526 to 896 of the family's 1533-position model. The record is from RNAcentral.